This is a long non-coding RNA of Mirounga angustirostris (Northern elephant seal), 2915 nucleotides long. RefSeq lists it as uncharacterized. Lineage: Eukaryota; Metazoa; Chordata; Mammalia; Carnivora; Phocidae. The transcript is spliced from 2 exons. The record is from RefSeq and is a predicted model, not a curated record.
ACGUAAUGGCGGGCGGGGCUGGGGGCGGCGCCGCGGGGACUGCGGCACCGCGAGGGGGAGCUGGGGCGCGGUGCGAGGUGCGGGGGCGCUCAGGCCCGGGUCCGCGCCUGUCGGCUCGCGAGAGGGCUCCCGGCGCCGGCGGCCGGCCGCCAAGGGCGGUGUCGGGGCCUCCGGCCCAGCCCGCCGCGGUCGGCUCGAGGCACCGACGCGGCCCCACCUUGCACUGGCUCCUCAGUAACACCGCAUCCCCCCACCCGUCCACUCUGGACGCCCGACAGGGGCUGGACACCUGGGUCCUGGAACGGGGGUGGGAGGGUCCUCGCCUCCCGGGGCCAGGUGAGAGGCAGCCAGUACCCUCUUGGAGCGGGGAGCCUAGAAUGAGAGCUGCACAGUCCUGUUCAAAGGCCGCUAAGCCACGUGUGGCUACUGAACCCUUGAAAUGUGGGUAGUCUGAAUUGAGAUGUGCUCUAAGUGUAAAAGAGUCACUGGAUUGCAUGGACUCAGUAAGUUAAAAGGCUGUAAAAUAUUCCAUUGCUAAUUUUGUAUAUUGAUUACAUCUCAAAAUAAUAUUUUGGAUAGAUUUUUAAAAUUAAUUUCACUUUUUUUUUUUAACCUUUUUAAAUGACUACUACACUAGUAGUGACUAAACUGGAAAAUGUUCUUACCUAUGUGACUCACAUUGUAUUUCCAUUGAACAGCUCUGCUCUGGAGUAGACAUAAUUACUAUCCCUAUUUCACAGCUCGGAAAAGGAGGCUCAAAGAGCUGACUAGCUACAAAGCUAGUAAGUGAAGUCAUCUGGAUUCCUUCUACAAAGACAAAGCCCAGGUGAGUUUUAAAGGCUUGGUCAGCAUGAGGUAACACCCAAUCGUAAUUGUUCUCAAAGAUGAUCCUGAACGUUGGGCUAGGUGAGCGGGGACCUGGGGACUGUUUUUGUUGCCCACACAUACUCCUUUUCCUCUCUGGGACCAGUUUCUCCAACUAUAAAAUGACGAUAAUUAUAGGUGCCCUGCAGCCAGCUUUGUGAGUAGGAAAUGAGAAGCUCUAUAUGAAAGCAGGUCAAGUUUAUGGAGCAGAAAUGCCCCCAUAAAACCCAAGGUGAUGCUGUUGUUAUAAGUAUGAAGCCUGCUUGCUGUGUUAAUAGUGGGCAUCUGUCAGAGGUGGGCAACGUCAUGGCUUCAUCACGCCUGCCUGAGGGAGCCAGUCCUCGGGGGUCCUCUCAGCACUGGUCAGGUGCCUGGUGCCCUGGGGGGAGGGCCGGGGGGGGGGUAUGGGUUUCCUGGCUCUCUCCUCCUCUCUCCCCUCCCCAUGCAGCUGGGCCCCCAGGGCACAGUCUAUUCCCACUGAUGUUGUUCCCACAUUCCGAGGGCUUGGCCUCCACCUUCUCCCCAUCUCUACCUCCAGUUCCCAUUUCUUGGGCUGUUCAUGAGCAGACAGAGCCUUCCAUUUCCCUUCCAGAGAAUGGCCCUGCUCUGGGUAACUUCACGGAUAACACAGCGCCAUAAAGAUUUUCUGGAGGUAAUUGCUUCUUGGUCUUUGUUGUUUCCUUCAAGAUGGGGAUUUGGGGCCAAGUAGGCAUAGAAGAUGUGACCUGGAAGGGAUAAUAUUGGGGACAUGGGACCCUAACAGGUGGGCAUCUCCCUACCUGUGGAAGGGAAAGAUCACCCUCAUGGAUGGUGCCCACUCUGCUUGGGCACCAUCUGCUGGUUGGGUCGCUAAGUAAGUCACCUACCCUCUCUGAGCCUCUGUUAGCGUAUCUGAAACAUGGAAAUCCGGUUGUGUUAUGUUGUGAGUCUAAGAGACAAUGUGACCUGGACGUUUAGUACACACGCAGUCGAUAAAUCAAUGACAGCAUUGGUUACAGCAGGCCCGGGCACAGGAGGGCUGCCCGUGGGUUACCGGCAGCACAUGUCCUUGCCCAGGCUGUCUCCUCUUGCCACCCAGUCUGCACCGGCCUGCUUUCUCAUCUGCUCGCUCCUCCCCCAGUACCCGCCCCUGUUGUCUGUUGGAAUCUAAUCAAAGAGGCACACAGGCAGAUUUUUAAACAAUGCCUGCCCAGCCUAAGGUGACUCAUCCGACAGCUGUGACCCCUUACUCUCCUCCAUGUGGGCAUCAGCAGCACCAGCACGGGUCUGGGGAAACCCCCCCCCCCACCCCGGGGAGGGGAGCAGGAGGGAAUGGGGCCGGCGCAUCCUCCCCUCUCCCCUGGAAUAGGCUUUUGGCAAGCUUUGGGGAAAGGUGGUUCCCCCCCACCCCCACCCAAGACCCUCCUGUCCAAAAAGGAGCAGCUCUCUGGCUGUUGGGCAGGGUCAGGGGGAGGGGUCCCAACAUCCUCCGGCCGUCGCAUGUCAUUUCCUGCUUUUGGACCUGAUGUCACUGACAUCAAGUGUGCGAGCCGUCCCUGCCCUGAAGGCACUUUGGAGUGAUGCUGACAACCUUCAGACUGGAAAGAAAGGAGUGAAUUCCCGGUAGAAGGCUGGGCCUUGCCUGCAUUUUACAGACGGACUCAGGAUCCUCCCCUUCGCUCUGCCUGCCCUUCUUGUCUCCUGCCCUGGGUGAGAGGAUCGUAGUGAAAGCGCCCCCCGCAAGCCUGAGAUGUCCAUGAUGAGGGCUGCUCUUAGCGGAUGCCGUCUCUGGCGGGACACAUGUGAUCUGCUUCAAAGAGAUUUCACUGGGAUCCUGACAUUUGGGAAACAUCAAUAGAAUAACGAAAACCCAGAAACCAUUCCAGCAAUCAAGUCGCAUGUAUUAUUCUGGAACAGUCUCACAGCUUACUUGUUUGUGCCCUCAGAGAGGGUCCAGGGGACAAGGCGCCUCAAUUUCUCUUUCCCGUGAAACGCCUCUAAAAUAGCCCUGCCUGCUCCUUCGACUGUGAGCACACAUUUUCAAGCUUUUAAUAAAAGCAUCUUUUUAUGAA